RNAcentral lists this ribosomal RNA (468 nucleotides) under uncultured bacterium. RNAcentral's name for it is "partial 16S ribosomal RNA". It matches the Rfam family "Bacterial small subunit ribosomal RNA", at positions 28 to 507 of the family's 1533-position model. The record is from RNAcentral.
GACGAACGCUGGCGGCGUGCUUAACACAUGCAAGUCGAACGGAAAGGCCCUGCUUUUGUGGGGUGCUCGAGUGGCGAACGGGUGAGUAACACGUGAGUAACCUGCCCUUGACUUUGGGAUAACUUCAGGAAACUGGGGCUAAUACCGGAUAGGAGCUCCCGCUGCAUGGUGGGGGUUGGAAAGUUUCGGCGGUUGGGGAUGGACUCGCGGCUUAUCAGCUUGUUGGUGGGGUAGUGGCUUACCAAGGCUUUGACGGGUAGCCGGCCUGAGAGGGUGACCGGCCACAUUGGGACUGAGAUACGGACCAGACUCCUACGGGAGGCAGCAGUGGGGAAUAUUGCACAAUGGGCGGAAGCCUGAUGCAGCAACGCCGCGUGCGGGAUGACGGCCUUCGGGUUGUAAACCGCUUUCGCCUGUGACGAAGCGUGAGUGACGGUAAUGGGUAAAGAAGCACCGGCUAACUACGUG